AUUAGCUAGUUGGUGAGGUAAAGGCCCACCAAGGCGACGAUGGGUAUCCGGCCUGAGAGGGUGAUCGGACACAUUGGGACUGAGAUACGGCCCAAACUCCUACGGGAGGCAGCAGCUAAGAAUAUUCCGCAAUGGACGGAAGUCUGACGGAGCGACGCCGCGUGGAUGAAGAAGGCUGAAAAGUUGUAAAAUCCUUUUGUUGAUGAAGAAUAAGGGUGAGAGGGAAUGCUCAUCUGAUGACGGUAAUCGACGAAUAAGCCCCGGCUAAUUACGUGCCAGCAGCCGCGGUAACACGUAAGGGGCGAGCGUUGUUCGGAAUUAUUGGGCGUAAAGGGCAUGUAGGCGGUUAUGUAAGCCUGAUGUGAAAUCCUGGGGCUUAACCCUAGAAUAGCAUUGGGUACUGUGUAACUUGAAUUACGGAAGGGAAACUGGAAUUCCAAGUGUAGGGGUGGAAUCUGUAGAUAUUUGGAAGAACACCGGUGGCGAAGGCGGGUUUCUGGCCGAUAAUUGACGCUGAGAUGCGAAAGUGUGGGGAUCGAACAGGAUUAGAUACCCUGGUAGUCCACACCGUAAACGAUGUACACUAGGUGUUGGGGCAAGAGCUUCAGUGCCAAAGCAAACGCGAUAAGUGUACCGCCUGGGGAGUAUGCCCGCAAGGGUGAAACUCAAAGGAAUUGACGGGGGCCCGCACAAGCGGUGGAGCAUGUGGUUUAAUUCGAUGGUACGCGAGGAACCUUACCUGGGUUUGACAUCUAGUAGAAGGUCUUAGAGAUAAGGCCGGGUAGCAAUACCCUGCUAGACAGGUGCUGCAUGGCUGUCGUCAGCUCGUGCCGUGAGGUGUUGGGUUAAGUCCCGCAACGAGCGCAACCCCUACUGCCAGUUACUAACAGGUAAAGCUUGAGGACUCUGGCGGAACUG
This 918-nucleotide ribosomal RNA is filed under the name Treponema medium. Its description in RNAcentral is "bacterial SSU rRNA". It matches the Rfam family "Bacterial small subunit ribosomal RNA", at positions 240 to 1151 of the family's 1533-position model. Lineage: Bacteria; Pseudomonadati; Spirochaetota; Spirochaetia; Treponematales; Treponemataceae. The record is from RNAcentral.